UUUUUUUUUUUUUUUUUUUUUUUUUGAGACGGAGUCUCGCUCCGUUGCCCAGGCUGGAGUGCAGUGGCACCAUCUCGGUUCACUGCAACCGCCGCCUCCCGGGUUCAAGCGAUUCUCCUGCCUCAGCCUCCCAAGUAGCUGGGAUUACAGGCACGCGCUACCACGCCAGACUAAUUUUUGUGUUUUUAGUAGAGACAGGGUUUCACCGUAUUGACCAGACUGGUCUUGAGCUCCUGACCUCGUGAUCUGCCCGCGUCAGCCUCCCUAAGUGCUGGGACUAGAGGCAUGAGCCAUCAUGCUCAGUCUUUUUUUUUUUUUUUUUUUAAUGUAAUCUUGCUCUGUUGCCCAGGCUGGAGUGCAGUGGCGAGAUCUCGGCUCACUGCAACCUCUGCCUCUUGGGUCCAAGCGAUCCUCUUGCCUCAGCCUCCCGAGUAGCUGGAACCACAGGUGAGAGCCACCUCAUCUGACUAAUUUUUGUAUUUUUAAUAGAGUCAGGGUUUUGCCAUGUUGGCCAGGCUGGUCUCGAACUCCUGACCUCAAGUGAUCCACCUGCCUCGGCCUCCCAAAGUCCUGGGGUUACAGGCGUGAGCCACUGCACCAGACCCAAAAUUGCCUUUUGAGAAGAGAAUUGGAUGGUUGGGGAUGGAGAGGAGGGAGAGCUCUUUUUACUGUAUAGCUUUUUGUACCUUUUGAAUUUGGAACCAUGUGUCAUGUAUUAUCUAUUAACAAUAAAUUCCUUCCUUGGAUAGAGAUUAUAGGAGCUGACCACUUUUCAGCUUGCCUACUCCCUUUCCCUAACACAUUCACACGCAACCGGAACUCCCUCCAUACCCACCUUCUGUUCCCAAGUAUACUUGAACAUACAACCAAAUGCUCUCCUUACAACCACAUGGCUCCAGCAUUUGUACAAAGGCAACAGUGCAUCUGCUGCACUCACAGACAUCCCCACGCACGGAGCCAGCGAGCAUGCAGUCCUGUGUGUAUGUGUGUGCUUGUGUGUACAUAUAUCCAUGUGUGCCUUUGACCCAGCCCCUACCCUCUCCCUUUAUCUAUAUCUGUUUCCUGGGUACGUAUACCUGGGUGGAGGUCCCUAAUUACAAGGGGAAAUAGGUUAAAAGUAUCCUACUGUAAAGCACUAAAUGGGCCUAAUUACAAGUGACUGUAAAACUCUAAUUAUAAGAGGACGCAUUAGUUGGGAAAAAAAAAAAAAAGGAGAAGAAGGCAGACCUGAAAAUAAAGGACCUGAGUGACAAAUGUAGCCUCCUUAGACUGUUGAGAAAAAAGAGCUUAAUUGCCCUUUGAUAAAACUGGGGCAGUGGGAAAACAACGGGAGGGGUGGGGAGGGGCCAGCAAUCAAAGGAGACUCCUAUAGACAAGACCUCUCCCCAGGGAGCUCUCUCCGCCACCCCACCAUUUCUCUCAUAACUGUCACUUGCCUUCUACUGCUGGUGGGACAAAAGAGGAGGAAGUUGUUACUUGCAUCCAGCUUACUCCUUCUUCUACUCUCUGAGCUCCCUCAGGAAUCCCAGGUCCUUCGUCCCUUUGCACCUAUCAAAAUCCAUUCUCUCAGGUCCCAGAGGAAUGGCCUUGUGAACAGGACACACAUUCUGAUCCUGACCUAGCUACUCACUAGCUAUGUGACAUUUGUGAGGCACAUACCCUAAGCAAACCUGUUUCCUCAAUUCCAAAUGGGGCUGGGAACAUCUCUUGCAGAGUUGUGAAGAUGCACAGAAUGGUAUAUGAGAAAGUGCUUUGUCAAUGGGAAAUUCUUGCACUGUUAGCC
This 1783-nucleotide long non-coding RNA is filed under the name Macaca fascicularis (crab-eating macaque). Its description in RNAcentral is "lncRNA (ENSMFAG00000047396.1)". Lineage: Eukaryota; Metazoa; Chordata; Mammalia; Primates; Cercopithecidae. The record is from RNAcentral.